Molecule: long non-coding RNA, 1871 nt
Organism: Brassica napus (rape)
Lineage: Eukaryota; Viridiplantae; Streptophyta; Magnoliopsida; Brassicales; Brassicaceae
Exons: 2
Source: RefSeq, a predicted model, not a curated record
GGUUUUUAUAAAGUUAUAUCCAUUCGGUUUAUAUGGUAUAUACCAAAACCAAACCAUAUUGUCUAUUUUGAUUCGGUUCGGUUCGGUACGGUUCGGUUUUACCAUAUUGACCAGCCCUAGGAAAUAUAACAAUUAACUUUUAAUUCUCGUUGGAUUAUCAACUUGAUGAUCAAAUCAGGAUCCUUCUACAAAUAUAACAUAUUUUUAACUUUGAUUAUCAAAUCAAAAUCCUUAUAAAAUAUAACAUGCAUUUACAACUUGAUUAUCAACUCAAAAUCUUUAAUACAAUUUAACUAAUAGAUAUUGCUUCUGAAAUAUCUUUAUACAUAAACUAGAUAUUGACCCACGGAUCCGCACAGAUAUCUAUACUAUUAAAGCAGAAUACUUACUAGGAUUCUGCCAUUGGAUUUUCAAGUUAUUUACAAGAGAAUGCCAUUACCUUUUUUGAUUUUUUUUAAAUAUUCUCGCCACUUAUUUCGGCCAAUCAGAUACAAGAUUAAAUAGAAGGGAGCUUCUGAUCAGCGACGAUCAUUUCGGCGAAGAUGAACACGAUUUUACGCCCAAACCUUCUUUGCCUUCCUCUUCUUCUUCUUCCUGACAUCAAUGUGGUUAGAGGUUUUAACUUAUUUCCCCUUCCAUCCUGAAGGUUUUAUAGGUUUCUUCUGCGAUUUAUUGCUCGAUUGCAAAACUUUUCAAAGUAGGUUUUGUUUAGAUUAGCGCUGAACCGUCCCGUAUUUAUUCAAUUUUGGGUUGGGGUUGUAGCUUAAUCUUGACCUGUUCACGAUUUUAAGAAACAAGAUCUGUUUCCCUGAAGACGUAUGAAAUUCUGAGAGUGUGGCUCUGUUUAGUGUCCUUAAACUUGUAGUUUCUUCCUGGAUGCUUUAGUUAUUACCAAUAGACACGAGAAUCUGUUUUUUUUAUUAUCUGCUAUUAAGUUUGAUGGCUUUUCUGACUGAGAAUUUUUUUAUCUUUAGAAUUUACAAGUUGAUCAGAAGCUUGGCAUCAAAGAAGUUAAUGACUGAAUUGUAGGCAACGACUUUUCUCUCUUGGUUAAUGUUAUUGAGUUUGCCCUAUAAUUGUGAUGGAGUGUAACAGGUACUACUCAAUGUACGGAUAUGUGGAGAAACUAUUACAAGAGAUUAGGAAAGUGCUGCUUCUCUUGAUGGUGAUCGAUGCCAAACUCUGGCAGAAUAGGAGUUGAAGUUAAAAACAAGUUCUUAUGUGUGAAUGAAAGAGGGAAUACAUUUCUAUAUUUUUAUUUACUGGUGAAUGUCUUUUAUUUGUCACCAUUUUUAUGCUAUGUGAUAAUCUUUUGAGUGAUUUAACAUUUUUUAUCUCACUGAUGCAUGUUUUCAGCUACCUUAAAUUUAACUUGCAUCCUCUCAAAGAAAUAAGAAGACAUUCAUACUGAAGCAUCGAGCUAAGCUUUUGUUCUUAACAGAAUGACAUGUACCAGAGACGCUCCAAAAAGACGUGCUCUCUAAAUGAGUGGACCGCCAAAGAGUGAUGCUCCUCUUAUCACCCUCAAUGACCUUGCCAAGGCUGAUGGCUUUGUCUUUUGCUUCCCAACAAGGUUUGGUAUGAUGGCUGCCCAGUUCAAGGUAUUCUUAGACAAAAUUGGUGGCCUCUGGAGGAUUCUACAACUUGCUGGUAAGCCAGCCGGAAUCUUCUACAGCACCGGGGCUCAACGUGCUGGUCAAGAACCUCAUCAACACUUGCUUCGGUUUUUACGUUUUGGAGUGUUUACUUGUGUUGUCAUUGAUUUCUAACACAUUUUUUUGUAAUCUUUGUAAGCAGGAUUCAGAACUAUCGAACUAAUUCUAUUUUUAUAAAUCUUGAUCUCAUGCCAGUUAAGCAAACACCUUGAGCCU